This is a long non-coding RNA of Eubalaena glacialis (North Atlantic right whale), 300 nucleotides long. RefSeq lists it as uncharacterized. The transcript has 3 exons. The record is from RefSeq and is a predicted model, not a curated record. Lineage: Eukaryota; Metazoa; Chordata; Mammalia; Artiodactyla; Balaenidae.
CCUGCUGUGAGCAGUGGCCUCCCUUUCUAGACUGUCCCUAUCAACCUGAGAGGGACUAGAGUCUAUAUCCAAGGGAUGUCAUGGAGGAGAUCUCUCUUGGUGUUGCAAGGAACAUCAUAAUUAACAUGGUGAUGAAGAAAGUUUCUGGAACAGAUAUGUGAUGAAGAACUAUUACGUGUAUGAACAAAUGAAUAUGAAGGAAUGAGGUCAACUUUACCCACUGAGGCCAGGUUCCUAAAGUUCUCCAGCAUCACGUCUCUGUACAGGAUUUUCUGAGCAGGGUCCAGCAGUGCCCACUCC